RNAcentral lists this long non-coding RNA (1752 nucleotides) under Pectinophora gossypiella (pink bollworm). RNAcentral's name for it is "uncharacterized LOC126367145". The record is from RNAcentral. Lineage: Eukaryota; Metazoa; Arthropoda; Insecta; Lepidoptera; Gelechiidae.
AUAUAAUGUACCCACUUUAGGACUCUGUCGCACUAACAUAUUUGACAUUUAGUGAAACUUACAGUUCAAUUUGUCAAAAAAGUAAAUGUGACAUGGUACCAAAGUGUAUACAUAUUAAUGCUCGUGACCGUACAGUAUACCUACACACACACUCGUCGCCGCCUAUGUUUCAGUCCUAAGUAAAAGGAGGCGAGACUAUUGCCAUUAACUGGGCCCAAAUUCUGGUAACCACGUGAUAUCAAUAUCUAUGAUCCAAACAUAUCAUGGUAUAAAAACUUGCAUUAUCAUUUCCCUCUAUAUCUUAAUACAGUGACAGUUCAGAAGUUCGGUUGUACAGUGAAGUGACUAUUUAAAAGUUUGGUUGUACAGUACAGAGAUGAACAGAUAUUUAUGUUAUAAGCACAGUUUCAAAACUGAUAAUGUAACAGAUAUUAUUUUAAGUGUUAUUUUUAUUACAUAAAGCAACACUGAUGAGUACUUGAAAUUGUGUGCGUACAUUCAAACACUCUGUAAAUAAAAUAUUUUGUAGGUAUUCUUUAUGAUGAAAAGUCCAAGAUUUUUGUCAAGAAUUGAUUAAUUUAUAAGAAUUAAUAAUUAUAUAUGAGAAAAGAUGUUGAACGCAACCUAAGUAUUUACCAGUGUUGCCAAAAAAAACAUAUAAUGUACAAUAUAAAUAUCAUUUACUUAAUCAAAAUGUAUAGAUGUUUAUUCGAUUCUACUUGAUGUACAUUUGCAUAACCGCAUAUUUUAUUAAGAUCAAAUAUACAAGUCCGUAGAAUAUCUUUUGAAACAGACAUACAUACAUAAAUACCUACUGUAGCAUUUGAUGUUAAUAUUUAAAUAGUACUAGUAUGCAUUAAAUGUGUAUCUACAAACGAUAAAUGUAACGACUUAUUGUUAUUCUCCGCAUAUGCAAUAUAAAUAAAAAUAGGAAGUGUUAUAAUACAGUAUCUAACUACAGGGGUUUCAUCAACACAAUCUUCAGAAUAAAAAUAUUAUACACAUACAUAUACGUACUUAAAUUCACGCCUGCACUGGGGUAAGCAGACUCUGGAAUUCCAUUUGCUUUAGUCCUGACACACUUCUCUUGCUUCCUCCACAUUCAUCAAUCAAUCCAUCUUCAAUUUGGUCAAUGUACGUCCUUCUAGGUCUUCCUCUACCAGCCCUACCUCCAACCUUCGCUUUGUAUACUGCUUUCAAAUAUUAUAAAUUAAUACAUAUACAUUUAUGUACGUAUAUGUCAUGGUCAUGUCUGACGGUUUCUGGUCCUUUUAACACAUUACAUUUAGUACCAACGCCGGAGACCGUAUUACUUAUCGAAAUAAGCGCCAUCUAAAGAAGGUAUGGAGCAUAUUCCACCACGCUGCUCCAUUGCGGGUUGGUGGAGGUGCUUUUACGGCUAAUAGCCGGGAUUAACUGCUUAACGUGCCCUCCGGACGUGCCUUUUCGGACAAUCAGGUGAUACAAGCCUGCAAAGUCCUUACCAAACAAAGGACAGUCUCACAAAAUGAUUUCGACAAUGUCCCCAUCGGGAAUCGAACCCGGUCCUCCAGAUCGUCUAGUGAGAAGUGUCAUCUAGUGACAAUUAUUAUUUAUCAUCCAACAUCCAAUUCAACCAAAUUUUUUCAUAAGUGUAUUGUGGAAACCCUAUUGCAGCCCAGAGGGACAACUAAUUGUACAAAACAUUUACCGCUUCUUCUUUGUGUCGGUAUAUAAAUAGCAAAAAAGAAAAAUAAAAAGUUACUAAUCAAA